UACGAAGGGGGCUAGCGUUGUUCGGAUUUACUGGGCGUAAAGCGCACGUAGGCGGAUCUUUAAGUCAGAGGUGAAAUCCCAAGGCUCAACCUUGGAACUGCCUUUGAUACUGGGGAUCUUGAGUCCGGGAGAGGUGAGUGGAACUGCGAGUGUAGAGGUGAAAUUCGUAGAUAUUCGCAAGAACACCAGUGGCGAAGGCGGCUCACUGGCCCGGUACUGACGCUGAGGUGCGAAAGCGUGGGGAGCAAA
Molecule: ribosomal RNA, 249 nt
Filed under: uncultured bacterium
Lineage: Bacteria
Description: partial 16S ribosomal RNA
Rfam family: Bacterial small subunit ribosomal RNA
Source: RNAcentral